GGUGCGAUAGCUCAGUUGGUAGAGCAAAGGACUGAAAAUCCUUGUGUCGGCGGUUCAAUUCCGCCUCGCACCA
RNAcentral lists this transfer RNA (73 nucleotides) under Chitinophagaceae bacterium. Its description in RNAcentral is "tRNA-Phe". It matches the Rfam family "tRNA". From Rfam's summary of the family: Transfer RNA (tRNA) molecules are approximately 80 nucleotides in length. Lineage: Bacteria; Pseudomonadati; Bacteroidota; Chitinophagia; Chitinophagales; Chitinophagaceae. The record is from RNAcentral.